This 74-nucleotide transfer RNA is filed under the name Gammaproteobacteria bacterium. RNAcentral describes it as "tRNA-Cys". It matches the Rfam family "tRNA". From Rfam's summary of the family: Transfer RNA (tRNA) molecules are approximately 80 nucleotides in length. Lineage: Bacteria; Pseudomonadati; Pseudomonadota; Gammaproteobacteria. The record is from RNAcentral.
GGGUGGAUGGCAGAGUGGCUAUGCAGCGGCCUGCAAAGCUGUUAACUCCGGUUCGAUUCUGGAUUCAGCCUCCA